UUAAAAAAGACAAGGAAUAACUCUCUCUCUUCUCUCUCCUCUCUCCGAACUUUUUCUUCCUCCUCUUUCCUGAUUAUGGAAUAAUCUUCUUUGGAUAAGCUUGGGGACUUAUGGAUUAUGAGUUAGGGGAUGGAAAAUGAAAGCUCAUGUGAAAUAACAUGAUGCUAAAAUCAAUACUGGUUGUGUUCUGUUUGGUUGUAUUUUCUCAAAGAUACAACUCUCACCAACAAAAUCUUCGAUUGUGGAAAAGGCUAAACCGUCAUCCUCAAUCAUUAAGAAGAGAUCUCUUUCCUGUAAAGGCCGCAGUGACAUUUUAUCAGACUUGCUCGUGAUAGAAGGGCUCAGGAAUCCAUCUUGAUAGUUUUAUCACACCUUCACAACUCGCUUGUGGAUCCUUACAUACUUCCAGUAUUAGAAGACUACUCAUUGGGUAACGAUGGAGAACGAAUGCCUCCUAUGUUAUUGAAGAAUUACAAAUGGUUUGGUUAUCUUUGUAUUUUUGGUUUUAGGAUCUUGUCUAGGACUCAUCGCGUUGUGCUCUUUUCCUUCGUCAAGGUUUUAUCCCUUUGGAUUUGGAUUUUCCUUGACAAGGUUUUUAGCGAGGCAACAUAUGCGUGUCCAACACCUUUCGGUGGUUUUCACAUUUACCUUCUAUUUUUUGUUUUUUAUUUUUCAUGUAUUUCCUUUAAUUUGUUAGCCGCAAUAGAUGGCUAUAAUACCAAUGUAACCACGGCUGCUAACGCCAUAAGUUAGUAUUUUUAAUGUAAUAAUUCACAAAAAA
Molecule: long non-coding RNA, 781 nt
Organism: Papaver somniferum (opium poppy)
Lineage: Eukaryota; Viridiplantae; Streptophyta; Magnoliopsida; Ranunculales; Papaveraceae
Exons: 2
Source: RefSeq, a predicted model, not a curated record